RNAcentral lists this ribosomal RNA (454 nucleotides) under uncultured soil bacterium. Its description in RNAcentral is "bacterial SSU rRNA". It matches the Rfam family "Bacterial small subunit ribosomal RNA", at positions 26 to 522 of the family's 1533-position model. The record is from RNAcentral.
AGAACGAACGCUGGCGGCAGGCUUAACACAUGCAAGUCGAACGCCCCGCAAGGGGAGUGGCAGACGGGUGAGUAACGCGUGGGAAUCUACCCAAUUCUACGGAACAACUGAGGGAAACUUCAGCUAAUACCGUAUACGCCCUACGGGGGAAAGAUUUAUCGGAAUUGGAUGAGCCCGCGUUGGAUUAGCUAGUUGGUGGGGUAAUGGCCUACCAAGGCGACGAUCCAUAGCUGGUCUGAGAGGAUGAUCAGCCACACUGGGACUGAGACACGGCCCAGACUCCUACGGGAGGCAGCAGUGGGAAUAUUGGACAAGUGGGCGCAAGCCUGAUCCAGCCAUGCCGCGUGAGUGAUGGAAGGCCGUUAGGGUUGAAAGCUCUUUCAGGUAGGGAAGAUAAUGGACGGUACCCACGAGAAGAACGCCCCGACUAACGUUCGUGCCGAGCGACGCCGAC